AUGCUGGAGGUAUCAGAAGUGCGAAUGCUGACAUAAGUAACGAUAAAGCGGGUGAAAAGCCCGCUCGCCGGAAGACCAAGGGUUCCUGUCCAACGUUAAUCGGGGCAGGGUGAGUCGACCCCUAAGGCGAGGCCGAAAGGCGUAGUCGAUGGGAAACAGGUUAAUAUUCCUGUACUUGGUGUUACUGCGAAGGGGGGACGGAGAAGGCUAUGUUGGCCGGGCGACGGUUGUCCCGGUUUAAGCGUGUAGGCUGGUUUUCCAGGCAAAUCCGGAAAAUCAAGGCUGAGGCGUGAUGACGAGGCACUACGGUGCUGAAGCAACAAAUGCCCUGCUUCCAGGAAAAGCCUCUAAGCAUCAGGUAACAUCAAAUCGUACCCCAAACCGACACAGGUGGUCAGGUAGAGAAUACCAAGGCGCUUGAGAGAACUCGGGUGAAGGAACUAGGCAAAAUGGUGCCGUAACUUCGGGAGAAGGCACGCUGAUAUGUAGGUGAAGUCCCUCGCGGAUGGAGCUGAAAUCAGUCGAAGAUACCAGCUGGCUGCAACUGUUUAUUAAAAACACAGCACUGUGCAAACACGAAAGUGGACGUAUACGGUGUGACGCCUGCCCGGUGCCGGAAGGUUAAUUGAUGGGGUUAGCGCAAGCGAAGCUCUUGAUCGAAGCCCCGGUAAACGGCGGCCGUAACUAUAACGGUCCUAAGGUAGCGAAAUUCCUUGUCGGGUAAGUUCCGACCUGCACGAAUGGCGUAAUGAUGGCCAGGCUGUCUCCACCCGAGACUCAGUGAAAUUGAACUCGCUGUGAAGAUGCAGUGUACCCGCGGCAAGACGGAAAGACCCCGUGAACCUUUACUAUAGCUUGACACUGAACAUUGAGCCUUGAUGUGUAGGAUAGGUGGGAGGCUUUGAAGUGUGGACGCCAGUCUGCAUGGAGCCGACCUUGAAAUACCACCCUUUAAUGUUUGAUGUUCUAACGUUGACCCGUGAUCCGGGUUGCGGACAGUGUCUGGUGGGUAGUUUGACUGGGGCGGUCUCCUCCUAAAGAGUAACGGAGGAGCACGAAGGUUGGCUAAUCCUGGUCGGACAUCAGGAGGUUAGUGCAAUGGCAUAAGCCAGCUUGACUGCGAGCGUGACGGCGCGAGCAGGUGCGAAAGCAGGUCAUAGUGAUCCGGUGGUUCUGAAUGGAAGGGCCAUCGCUCAACGGAUAAAAGGUACUCCGGGGAUAACAGGCUGAUACCGCCCAAGAGUUCAUAUCGACGGCGGUGUUUGGCACCUCGAUGUCGGCUCAUCACAUCCUGGGGCUGAAGUAGGUCCCAAGGGUAUGGCUGUUCGCCAUUUAAAGUGGUACGCGAGCUGGGUUUAGAACGUCGUGAGACAGUUCGGUCCCUAUCUGCCGUGGGCGCUGGAGAACUGAGGGGGGCUGCUCCUAGUACGAGAGGACCGGAGUGGACGCAUCACUGGUGUUCGGGUUGUCAUGCCAAUGGCACUGCCCGGUAGCUAAAUGCGGAAGAGAUAAGUGCUGAAAGCAUCUAAGCACGAAACUUGCCCCGAGAUGAGUUCU
Molecule: ribosomal RNA, 1557 nt
Filed under: Escherichia coli
Lineage: Bacteria; Pseudomonadati; Pseudomonadota; Gammaproteobacteria; Enterobacterales; Enterobacteriaceae
Description: bacterial LSU rRNA
Rfam family: Bacterial large subunit ribosomal RNA
Source: RNAcentral